Molecule: unclassified non-coding RNA, 285 nt
Organism: Erinaceus europaeus (western European hedgehog)
Lineage: Eukaryota; Metazoa; Chordata; Mammalia; Eulipotyphla; Erinaceidae
Gene: 7SK
Rfam family: 7SK RNA
About the family: 7SK was discovered as an abundant small nuclear RNA in the mid-70s but a possible function has only recently been suggested. Two independent studies have found that 7SK RNA binds the CDK9/cyclin T complex (known as elongation factor P-TEFb). P-TEFb activates transcription by phosphorylating the C-terminal domain of RNA polymerase II.
Source: Ensembl
GGAUGUGAGUGAGAUCUGGCUGCGACAUCUGUCACCCCACUGAUCGCCAGGGUUGAUACGGCCGAUCUGGCUGCCUAGGCGGGUGCCCCCUUCCUCCCUCACCACUCCAUGUGCGUCCUUCCGGAAGCUGCAAAGAGGAUGUCCUUCCCCGAAUAGCGACCAACCAGUCGAGUAGCUGCACUCCCCUGCUAGAACCUUCAAACAAGCUCUCAAGAGGUGGUAUUCAGUGAUCAUGCUUAUAACAAAUGCAUUCAAUCUCUGCAAGUCCUAGACUUAGUGUUCAUU